Molecule: RNA transcript, 1976 nt
Organism: Phascolarctos cinereus (koala)
Lineage: Eukaryota; Metazoa; Chordata; Mammalia; Diprotodontia; Phascolarctidae
Gene: RBPMS
Gene name: RNA binding protein, mRNA processing factor
Source: RefSeq, a predicted model, not a curated record
ACGGGGAUGCGGAGAUGGCCGACGGUGGCUGAGAUGUUAGCUCUUGUGUGCCUUGGCACGGCAUGCUGGGAGAAUGCCCGGAGAUGUUCAGAGCAUCCUCAGCCGGGCUGCUCAGCCUCUGGCAUCUUUGCUCCCCGGUGCCUUUAUCAGCCUGAGAGGGAGACAGACAGAGAGAAAAGCGCCCUUGGUGAGAUUGCUUCAGUCCGGACCCUCUUUGUCAGUGGCCUCCCUCUGGACAUCAAGCCUCGGGAGCUUUAUCUGCUCUUCAGACCAUUUAAGGGCUAUGAAGGUUCCCUAAUAAAGCUGACAUCCAAGCAGCCCGUUGGCUUUGUCAGUUUUGAUAGUCGAUCAGAAGCGGAAGCUGCUAAGAAUGCGCUGAACGGCAUUCGCUUCGAUCCUGAAAUUCCCCAGACGCUGCGACUAGAGUUUGCCAAGGCGAACACAAAGAUGGCAAAGAACAAACUCGUCGGGACCCCGAACCCCAGCACUCCUUUGCCCAGUACCGCCCCCCAGCUCAUCGCCAGGGAGCCGUAUGAGCUCACAGUGCCUGCACUUUAUCCCAGCACCCCCGAAGUGUGGGCCCCGUACCCUCUGUACCCAGCGGAGUUGACGCCUGCUCUACCCCCUCCUGCUUUCACCUAUCCCGCUUCACUGCAUGCCCAGCUCCCUUGCUGUGCCGGAGCUGUGCCCUCCUGGGACCCACGACCCCCCAGUGACAGAAGACUGAUGUGUGUGACCCUGGUUCCUGUAGAAGGAGGGGCCGCUGACCAGCAGAGGAAGCCCUCGGAGGCCUAUGCGCUGGCUCCCUCCCUCCGAGGCUACUUCUCAGGGCUGGAAGUCCCGUCAGUUCUGCUGAAUACUGUGUACCAGGUGUGUGAUGGCGGCUACACUUUGUCUUGCGGGUAUUGAUACGAUCUUCGGCAGUGGCUGCUGGCUUCGUGAGCUGUUUCGCAAGACUGCAGCUUACUGGCUUGAAUGAAGCAUCACCUGGUUUAAUUCCUCCAAGACGUUGCCACAGCCUCUAUCACACAUCUGUACUUGUCGAAGAAAAAGUAUAAUAAUGAAUAAAAAAUGUUUUUUCUCUUUUACACUGUAUAACAUAAGAAAUAGUGUUUCUGCGAACGCGUGGUCUGCCCUCCAUUGCUGGAGUUUGAAUGAAGUGUUAAACCUCACGUAAGCACGCAGCAAGAGAGUGUCUUUUAUGCUGAACGUCAUAAGGCUGCCUGGAUGAGCGAGCACACGCUGGGUUGGAUCACAGUUUUGUGUUUGACUUUUGAAUGCUUAGAAUCAGUUUCUGCUUGUUCCGCUCUUAAGCCGCAUGUUUGGGGAAUUUUCAAAAAUCCGAUCAGCUCUUUUGUAUCGUGAGUUUAUGUAUUUUUGUCGUUCUGGUUUGAGUCUUGGGGAAGGUCCCACGUGGUGUGCGUGUCAGACACAAAGUUGUCCGCAGUUGUGGAGUUAGCUUUCAGCUCCCAAUUCCACUAGCUUAUUUAGGCCAGACAGUGUGGAUCACUGGCCAGGGAAGCUUCUUUUCUUGGUAUGUUCACAGCCAGAUGAGCCGACGUUUCUGGGUCUCGGCCCCAUAGCCAGGGAGUUGUGCCAGGACCAAGCCACAGGGUCGUUCCAGACUGGGUGGGAGAGAGUGCCUUGCUCUUCUGCUUGUUAUCCUCCCCCUUAUGGAGGAGCACCUAGGGGAAGGGAGGAGCCCUUGGUCCCCUUGUAGGCAGGCCUCUCACCGGGUUCUGCCAACAUUAGGCUAGGUCUCUGGAUCUUCGGCAGCCUAGCCAAACAUAACCCUGUUUUCUGUUCAUGAGAAAAUGUCCGCCCAGCCCAGAAGGAGCUGGUGCGAACCCUGUGCAGCACCAUGUCUCAAGAGGGACCUCCUCAGAACUAGUCAUGACUCUCCUUUUGGUCCUGAGUUUGUCUGAGCAGCUUGUCUGAUACCUGAGAGGCUAAUAAACAUGGUCACCAUUUUAUCA